UACGUAGGGGGCUAGCGUUGUCCGGAAUCAUUGGGCGUAAAGAGCGUGUAGGCGGUCCGGUAAGUCCGUUGUGAAAGUCAAGGGCUCAACCCUUGAAUGCCGGCGGAUACUGUCGGGCUAGAGUCCGGAAGAGGCGAGUGGAAUUCCUGGUGUAGCGGUGGAAUGCGCAGAUAUCAGGAGGAACACCAAUAGCGAAGGCAGCUCGCUGGGACGGUACUGACGCUAAGGCGCGAAAGCGUGGGGAGCGAACAGG
This 253-nucleotide ribosomal RNA is filed under the name uncultured bacterium. Its description in RNAcentral is "partial 16S ribosomal RNA". It matches the Rfam family "Bacterial small subunit ribosomal RNA", at positions 524 to 776 of the family's 1533-position model. The record is from RNAcentral.